Parasteatoda tepidariorum (common house spider) is the source of this 277-nucleotide non-coding RNA. Lineage: Eukaryota; Metazoa; Arthropoda; Arachnida; Araneae; Theridiidae. The record is from RefSeq and is a predicted model, not a curated record.
AUAUUUGUUUAAAAAAGUGAUUAAUGUUUAUUUUUAGGUAGUGUACUACAAGUCACUAGGCUCUUAGAACUUGAUGUUUCAAAUUUAGUGUUCCAUCCAGCUUGUGUGAUUUCUGCUAUUUUAACUUCUUUAUGUACAGAAACAGUGAGAUGGCCGCGAAAAGGAGAUGAAAGUAUACUGUUAAACAUAUGUGGCCGAUUGCUUUUACUACAGCAAGAUCCUGUUGCUAAGACAUCUGAUAUUACCAACAAUAAUACUCAGGUAUGUUUAUAACAUU